UACGUAGGGUGCAAGCGUUGUCCGGAAUUAUUGGGCGUAAAGAGCUCGUAGGCGGUCUGUUGCGUCGGCUGUGAAAACCCGGGGCUCAACCCCGGGCCUGCAGCCGAUACGGGCAGACUAGAGUUCGGCAGGGGGAGACUGGAAUUCCUGGUGUAGCGGUGAAAUGCGCAGAUAUCAGGAGGAACACCGGUGGCGAAGGCGGGUCUCUGGGCCGAUACUGACGCUGAGGAGCGAAAGCGUGGGGAGCAAACAGG
This 254-nucleotide ribosomal RNA is filed under the name uncultured bacterium. Its description in RNAcentral is "partial 16S ribosomal RNA". It matches the Rfam family "Bacterial small subunit ribosomal RNA", at positions 524 to 776 of the family's 1533-position model. The record is from RNAcentral.